RNAcentral lists this ribosomal RNA (497 nucleotides) under uncultured bacterium. RNAcentral's name for it is "partial 16S ribosomal RNA". It matches the Rfam family "Bacterial small subunit ribosomal RNA", at positions 28 to 507 of the family's 1533-position model. The record is from RNAcentral.
GAUGGACGCUGGCGGCGUGCCUAAUACAUGCAAGUCGAGCGAACAGAUGAGGAGCUUGCUCCUCUGACGUUAGCGGCGGACGGGUGAGUAACACGUGGAUAACCUACCUAUAAGACUGGGAUAACUUCGGGAAACCGGAGCUAAUACCGGAUAAUAUAUUGAACCGCAUGGUUCAAUAGUGAAAGACGGUUUUGCUGUCACUUAUAGAUGGAUCCGCGCCGCAUUAGCUAGUUGGUAAGGUAACGGCUUACCAAGGCAACGAUGCGUAGCCGACCUGAGAGGGUGAUCGGCCACGCUGGAACUGAGACACGGUCCAGACUCCUACGGGAGGCAGCAGUAGGGAAUCUUCCGCAAUGGGCGAAAGCCUGACGGAGCAACGCCGCGUGAGUGAUGAAGGUCUUCGGAUCGUAAAACUCUGUUAUUAGGGAAGAACAAAUGUGUAAGUAACUAUGCACGUCUUGACGGUACCUAAUCAGAAAGCCACGGCUAACUACGUG